AGAGCCCUCUUCUCCUGCCUUUGCUCUAUCUGGUCAAGUUCCUGCCAAGAUGUCCUGCCAGCAGAGCCAGAAGCAGUGCCAGCCUCCUCCCAAGUGCCCCUCCCCGAAGUGCUCCCCAAAGUGCCCCCCAAAGAGCACAGCACAGUGUCUGCCUGCAGCCUCUUCCUGCUGUGCUACAAGCUCUGGGGGCUGCAGUGUCCCCAGCUCUGAGGGAGGCUGCUGCCUGAGCCACCACAGGCGCAGGUCCCACAGAUGCAGGCGCAGGAGCUCCAGUUCCUGUGACCGUGGCAGUGGUCAGCAGUCUGGGGGCUCAGGCUGUGGUCACACCUCUGGGGGCUGCUGCUAACUUGGAACAUGAUGCUGAGAUCAGGGAGUCGGGAGGAAAAAAGAAUCCCAAAGGUCAAAGAGAGCCCAGCCAGUCUUGUCAUGUCUGAUUCUGCAGAGCAUUCUCUGCUUGUAUGAUGCCCAGGUCCCUUGUUCCCACCCUUCCUGUGGAGUCCCAUUGCCUAUCCCUGAUUCUGACCAAGAAUAAAGCUUCUAUCAACCGUC
This 549-nucleotide long non-coding RNA is filed under the name Rattus norvegicus (Norway rat). RNAcentral's name for it is "long non-coding RNA NONRATT016630". The record is from RNAcentral. Lineage: Eukaryota; Metazoa; Chordata; Mammalia; Rodentia; Muridae.